Callithrix jacchus (white-tufted-ear marmoset) is the source of this 92-nucleotide Y RNA. It matches the Rfam family "Y RNA". Rfam says of the family: Y RNAs are components of the Ro ribonucleoprotein particle (Ro RNP), in association with Ro60 and La proteins. The Y RNAs and Ro60 and La proteins are well conserved, but the function of the Ro RNP is not known. The record is from Ensembl. Lineage: Eukaryota; Metazoa; Chordata; Mammalia; Primates; Cebidae.
GGCUUGUCAGAUGGUAGUGGGUUAUCAGAACUUAUAUUCAUGUCACUAAAGUUGGCAUAUAAUCCCCUGUUGCUAAAUUUGACUGGCUUUAA